This 253-nucleotide ribosomal RNA is filed under the name uncultured bacterium. RNAcentral describes it as "partial 16S ribosomal RNA". It matches the Rfam family "Bacterial small subunit ribosomal RNA", at positions 524 to 776 of the family's 1533-position model. The record is from RNAcentral.
UACAGAGGGGGCGAGCGUUGUUCGGAAUUACUGGGCGUAAAGGGCGCGUAGGCGGCCAACUAAGUCGGACGUGAAAUCCCCUGGCUCAACCAGGGAACUGCGUCCGAUACUGAUUGGCUUGAAUCCGGGAGAGGGAUGUGGAAUUCCAGGUGUAGCGGUGAAAUGCGUAGAUAUCUGGAGGAACACCGGUGGCGAAGGCGGCCUUCUGGACGAUAACUGACGCUGAGACGCGAAAGCGUGGGGAGCAAACAGG